CCUGGUGACCAUAGCGAGCUGGAACCACCCCUUCCCAUCCCGAACAGGACGGUGAAACAGCUCCGCGCCGAUGAUAGUGCGGAUUACCCGUGUGAAAGUAGGUCAUCGCCAGGC
This 114-nucleotide ribosomal RNA is filed under the name Cupriavidus sp. L7L. The record is from RNAcentral. Lineage: Bacteria; Pseudomonadati; Pseudomonadota; Betaproteobacteria; Burkholderiales; Burkholderiaceae.